GUCUGGUCUGCAGCAGGAGUUGGGUAUUAAUUCAAAGCAGUCUGCCAAUUUGUUAUUAGAAAGUUACGGUUGUAUGAUUUUUUUUUUUUUAACUGAGUAGAUUCCGAAUAUACAGCUAGAUUACAAUGUCCAUGCAAAUUACCUUACUAUUUUCAUAUAUCACUAUGAGACCUGCCAAAUGAAUACUGUUCCCCUAAAUUGUGGUAUUUCCCUUCCGCAAAUGAGUUUACCAUUUUUGCAGCAGCAAUUGCAGGUUGCAUGAGAAUGGAAAGCCGGACACAAGUAGAAUAACCUAAGGACGGAAUUCAGCAAGGAUUGUCAGAUACAUUCAUCCAAAGUAAUUGCAAGACAUGAACUAAUCUCUCAUCUCUCCUUGGUGAAUACCUAAGGAACUGGCAAGUUACUGUCUAGUUGUCAUCCCCCACCAGCAGGUAUUACUUGGGAAAACUCCUUCUCUGUUAUUCAGCGAGUCUGACUGCAAAUGAAGCAGCGGGUGCGCAGAAUGGUCACACUGCUCCUGCCUCCGAAUCAAAUUCCCGAUAUUAUAAAAAGGCGCUGGCUCUGAAGUUUUAUAACAAGAUUCAUCAGUUGACUAUUUUGCUUUCCUGGAAAGGCGCUCAACUGAAUAAG
This 630-nucleotide long non-coding RNA is filed under the name Struthio camelus australis. RNAcentral describes it as "lncRNA (ENSSCUG00000011658.1)". The record is from RNAcentral. Lineage: Eukaryota; Metazoa; Chordata; Aves; Struthioniformes; Struthionidae.